This 233-nucleotide ribosomal RNA is filed under the name uncultured bacterium. Its description in RNAcentral is "partial 16S ribosomal RNA". It matches the Rfam family "Bacterial small subunit ribosomal RNA", at positions 118 to 351 of the family's 1533-position model. The record is from RNAcentral.
UGAGUAACCUGCCCUUAACUCUGGGAUAAGCCUGGGAAACUGGGUCUAAUACCGGUUAUGACUCCUCAUCGCAUGGUGGGGGGUGGAAAGCUUUUUGUGGUUUUGGAUGGACUCGCGGCCUAUCAGCUUGUUGGUGAGGUAAUGGCUCACCAAGGCGACGACGGGUAGCCGGCCUGAGAGGGUGACCGGCCACACUGGGACUGAGACACAGCCCAGACUCCUACGGGAGGCAG